Molecule: long non-coding RNA, 390 nt
Organism: Musa acuminata AAA Group (dessert banana)
Lineage: Eukaryota; Viridiplantae; Streptophyta; Magnoliopsida; Zingiberales; Musaceae
Exons: 3
Source: RefSeq, a predicted model, not a curated record
UGAUCCUGUAAUUGAUCCCACACUCUGCGGACAGCUUCUGUGCCUCCCUGCAUCCCGACAACAGCACCAGAAAUAAUCCAGUUUGGAAGUACUGGAGGUCUCCCUAUGGUUUCUGUAUAGGUUUCAAUUAGUUCAACAGAAAUACAAGUCACAUCAUGAAGAAGAAAAGAUUAAGAGUUGAAGCGACUCAAAACUGUGCUGUCGAAGACAACAGUGCCACAAGACAUGAGGUUGUCGAUUGUCUUAGUAUCAGACUGGUGCUUGCAGAUGAAAAGGACAUCACCAUCCUUAAUAGCAAAAGAGCCUCUGCUCUCCUCCACCUGAGUCUGGACAGCUGCAGCAGAUAUGAAGGCCUCUCCUGGGAUUGUAGACCAUAUGCUCCUGUUAGGC